Molecule: long non-coding RNA, 4448 nt
Organism: Bubalus bubalis (water buffalo)
Lineage: Eukaryota; Metazoa; Chordata; Mammalia; Artiodactyla; Bovidae
Exons: 5
Source: RefSeq, a predicted model, not a curated record
GCAGCUAAACUCUAACACAGAGGUUUUUCUAACUUGUCUGAUGGUUAUUUUAAGAAAAAAAAAAAUGCCCAAGGUACUUGUGAAAAAUAGAAAAACAGAGGUUCCUGGCCACUGCCCUGAGGAUUCCAAUUCAAUAGGUCCGGAGUGGCCCAGGAGAUUCUAAUGAAGGGUUUAGGAUGUCAGCUGCUCUAAUGGGGCUAAGAGGCAAAACUUGGCCUCUUCUAGGCUUUCCCAAAUUCACUCUGCCAGUUAAUCUGAAACGUCAGGGAGGGGAAGACUGUUUGAAGCUUUGGGAAAGCUCACAUUGUCUCCCCCAUCCCAUUUCAGCAAGAGAGCCUUCCUAGAAGAGAUGGAGUAAUUUCCAGAACUGGAACAAAGGGAGAGACCUGGGCUCACAGACAGAAAGGAAGAUGAGCUCAGAGGACAUCCUGCUUCACCCAGUCUUUUGCAGGGGAGUCCCAACCAAGGAGAGGUGCCCGACUAGGGAAUCCCACAUACCCACCAACUUCCAAAGAGCUGAAACUGGAGCAAAUCCAAAUGAAUAUGAAAUAGACCUAAAUCCUCAGAACCUGAGUGGUCAAGAGUUUGAAGGUCACCGAACUUACUUUCAAAACUGAUGAGCCUUCAUUGUUGUGUACAGUAUGGCACUACAGUCUCCAACACGGCAGAUGCUUCUCCAGGUCCUAUACUCUUUGAAGGGAAGAGAAGAUGCCAUCCGAGCACAGGAUCUGGAGAGCAAAAGGUGAUCAACAGAUGUUUAGGGGUCUGAAUGAGACCCCGGCAGGAGCUUCUUCAGUCUUCCCAGGAGAAGAAAGCUCUGAGCAGCAAAUGAGCAAGUGAGAGACGCGGGCCCAGGAGCACCCAAUAAGAUGCAUAGCCAAUGGACAAGUGUCAUGUUUGGCUUCAAAUGAGCUCAAAGCACUGGGAGAAGAUGAAAGAGAGAAUGGACCCUGGCCUUCAAGGAGUUUCCCCAGGUGAGGAGCUGGGCACACCUGAGAUGAUCAGACAAGUCUGGACUUGAGGCAGUGCCACGAUGUAGCAACUCAAGCAAACUUCGGAGAGACCCACAUGGGGUGGGACUGAAACCACCUGUGAACAACCAGCGCUGACUCAGCAACCAGGAUCGACAAGGGGAAACACCACAGACCAGCUUUCCCACUCAAAGAAGGCACUGGAGAAAUCGGAGUUCCUACUGGAGCUGAGCAUCUGAGAAUGUGCCUUUCUAUCAACUGAGUCUCUAGUAGCCUCGAGGCUACAUCAGGCUGGGGACCCAGGCCAAAGUCCUGAAUGACCUGAGACCACAGUGCAAGGACCACAACAAGGCCUGAAGUAACAGGCCCACCUUGGAUGCUCUAGGCUCUCAGGGCGGCCCACAAAGAGUUCCAUUUGCAAAGCACCACUGAUGAAACUGGGGGCAUCUUUCAGUCAUGCUGUCGACUGGUUCCUAGAGGACUUGUAGCAAGUUCUUUAUUGGAAGAGUCUAUUCAACUCCACAGGUAGGAUCAGCUUUGAGAAAUCUAAAGAGCAGUUAUUAUUGAGAGAUUGGGAAGUUCAAGUUCCAAAGACCUCUCAUCAGAUAGGAGUAAAUUUGCAUCUUCAAGAAACCCUGAAAGGGAUUUACAUAAGGAGGAAGCACAGCACGUGUCCAUCAUUGCCACCAUUAUUAUAUAAGAGCAGCUUCAUUUGUUCCAGCAGAGUCCAUAUGAGCAUGAAAGCCAGAGAUGAGUCUUGAUGGUCUGUGGUGUGUUCUAGAUGAAUCCACACAGCGAGGAGGCUGGGGAGUGCCCUGAGGCCAGAGUGAGAGAAAUGCUUUCCUUGCUGCCUGCUGUGUAACUACCUUCACGUCUGCAUGGUGGCCGUCGUAGCGUGUGUGUCAGUCCUGUCCGACUCUUUGUGACCCCGUGAACUGUAGUCUGCCAGACUCCUCUGUCCAUUGGAUUUUCCAGGCAAGAAUACUGGAGUGGAUUGCCAUUUCCUACUCCAGGGAAUCUUCCCAACCCAGGUAUCGAACCCACAUCUCUUGCAUCAGCAGAUGGAUUCUUUACCAUUGCACCCCCUGGGAAACAUUAUCAUUUACUAUAUAAGGGCAGUUAUUAAGCAUCUACCAAGUGUCAGGCACAAUGCUAUAUGCUAACCCUCAGAUCAAUCUUGCAAGCUAAAUGUUGCUUUCUUAAUUUUAUGGGUGAAGGAAUGCAAGUUCAGAGAAGUUAAAUAACUUGUUGAAAGUUAACUUGUUGCAUUCAAAUGGCACAGUUGGGAUUCAGAUCUAGAAUUGUCUGACUCUGAGGUCUAUGUUCUACUCUGCAACCGUUACUAUAAUAGCAUUAGAGAUGCAGUGGCUUUGACACCAAAUGAGCUUUCUCUGAGUACAGCUCCUGGAGUUGUAAGGCCAGCCAGGAUUCCUGGUUCUAAACCAGAAACUGAAUAGCUAACUUAAAUAUCAAAGGGGUUUGGGAGAGACAUUGGGUAAAUCAAAGACUGACAAACUGAAGAAGCAGGCAAGAACCCACCCCUACCAAGACUCACAUAAUGGGAAAUUCACCUAGGAAGGUAUUCAGAUGCUGGGAAGCCAGAACAGAAUGAGAAACAUUCACUGCAGAGUCUCAGGAAUGGCAGAGCCUCGAGGAUAGAAUCCCAGUGAUGAAAACUUGGCCAAAUGUAGCUAAAAACCAUAGCCAUCGGUACCUAGCCUUAUUGCCCUCAAUAUUGAGGGCCUGGAAAAACAAGUCACCCAUACAGACUUGAGGUGAUAAGAGUCUGUUCCAUUUACUCCUCCUCCUUACAACCCCCAAACUUAAGAUUUUGUAGUUUCCUGAUGGCUCAGCAGUAAAGAAUUUGCCUGCAAUGCAGGAGACCCAGGGUGAAUCCCCAGGUUGGAAAGAUCCCCUGGAGGAGGAAAUGACAACCCAUCCAGUAUUCUUGCCUGAAAAAUCCCAUGGACAGAGGAGCCUGGUGAGCUACAGUCCAAAAGGGUCACAAAGAGUCAGACGCAACUGAGCACACACACACACACACAAACACACUGUUAGUGUGACACUAGUCUCAGGACUCACCCAUUCUACCCAGCCUUCAAGAUUGCCCCAGUGAUCCUUAUCUCCUGGUAUUCUUGCUCUUUGUAUGGUCCCUUUCACAUUGAAUCAGGGCUGACCUAGAUUAACAAUAGAAUGCAAUGGAUAUGCCGAUACGUGGCUUCCAGAGCUGGGUCAUAGAAGCAUUACAGCUCCUUCCUUGGUCUUCUUGAUAUGUAGCUGUGGAGAAAGCCAGUUGCCAUAUUGUGAGGACACUCAAGCAGCCUCCUGGAGACAAUGAUGUGGAGGGGAACCAACUUUCCAGCCAUGUGAGUGAGCCAUUGAGUCUGGGGUUAAUUUGCUGUACAACAAUAACUGGAGAUAAGGUGAUAAGGGGAGGUAAUAUGUGUGAAAGCGAACCACUGGAGCAGCGCCUGGCACGCAGUUCUUCCCGGGGCUGAAAGGGACUUUCCGGCAGGUGUGGCCAUUUCCUCAGUAACAUACCUAACAGAUGCUCAGACUGUCAGUAAACCUGGAGGUCCCUUACAUAUACUUCACAUGUAGUUUUGUUUGCAAGAGAGGCUAAAUAUCUUGGCCUCCUGAAGCAAGGAUAAGACGAUGGUGGAGCCCAGUGUAAGGCAGUUCGUGAGCAGCCCCCUUUAUGGGAAGUGUCCUCCUGGCCCUCUGAGCCUGUCUGGCCACAGACCUUCCCGUAAUGUGUUUUUCCUUUAUAAAAACCUGAGAUUAGAACACUACAGCCCAUGAAUAACUCCCCUCUUUUUGUAAGUUAAGCUGUAUUAGAACUCAGCCAUGUUCGUUCAUUUGUGUAUUGUCUAAUGUAUUUAUGUGCUGCAAGAGCAGAACUACAGAGAUAUCAGGGCUUCCGUGGCAGCUCAGUGAUUAAGAAUCUGCCCACCAAUGCAGGAGACGUGGGAGACACAGGUUUUGUUUCCUGGGUUGGGAAGAUCCCCUGGAAAAGGAAAUGGCAAUUCGCUCCAGUAUUCUUGCCUGGGAAAUCUUAAGGACAGAGGAGUCUGGCAGGCUAUAGUCCAUGGGGUCGCAAAGAGUCAGACUCUACUGAGCAACUAAACAACAAGAGAUAUUGUGUGUGCCCUGCAAGGCCUAAAAUACUAUCAGGCCUUCUAAGGGAGAGUUUGCUGACUCCUGGUAAAAUGGUCAAAGCACUGCUGGCUAGCACAGCUGAGAGCCAAAGAGGCAGCCCGAAUUGUCUGUUCUCUGUUCCCAGCUCUGCAGAGGACAAAGGGGCACCAUGGCUCUUCUCUUUCUCUCUCUCUUUCUCUCUCUCAUUAUGAAGGACUUUCCAAUAGGAUAAACAAUAGAAAUGUCAAGUGGAAUCCCACCAAUCCUGACACAUGAGCCCAAGAGAGAUCUACACUCCUGCAUUCAUUAUCUCUUCCUAUGUAGCAGACUACCCCAAAA